AGGGAGAGACGGAAACAUCCAUGUGAGAGAGACACAUCUACUGGUUGCCACCCACACUUGCCUCUGAGUGGCUUGAGGAUGGAACCUGCAACCCAGGUACAUGCCCUUGACCAAAAUCAAACCCAGGACCCUUCAGUCCACCAGCCGAUGCUCUAACCACUGAGCCAAACCAGCCGGGGCGAGACAUAUUUUCAUAUAAUGGUUUCAUCUUCGAUUUCUGUCAUAAACAUUUUACAGUUUUCAGUGUACAGACCUUUUACUUCCUUGGUUAGGUUUAUCGCUCUGUAUUUUACUCUUUUUGGUGCCGUUAUACAUGAGAUUAUUUAACUUUUUUAUGGAGAGCUCAUUGUAUAGGGGAACAGCUGAUUUUCCUAUGUUGCUUUGGUAUCCUUCACCUUGACUGAAUUCCUUUAUUAGUCCUAACAGGUGUGUGUUUUGUGUGGUUUUUCGGUGGAGUCCUUGGUAGUUUUUACCUGUAGAUCACGUUAUCUGCAAACAGAGACUUUUACAAUUCUUCCUUUGUAAUUUGGAUGCCUUUAUUGCUGCUGCUUGGUCUAGAACCUAUCGUUGUAAUGACAGGGAUGAGAGGAUGGCUUCUCUUCAUCGCUCAUGACAAAUGCUAUGUGUGUGUGAGGUGAAAAUUGUGUGAUUAUAGGUUGCCAUGAAUUACUAGUGCUCAGCCUAAUACUGGUUUCUUUCUUUAUGCUAUGAUUUAUUUAUUUAUUUUAUUUACUCAUUCACUCAUUCAUUCAUUCAUUUAUUCAUUUAUUUUUGGAGUAAUCAUGACCUCAUAAAUAAGCAUGGUGCAUUAGCUUGUGUUCCAAGAGGGAGGUAAUAGGUCGUCUAGAAGUCAUCUUCCUCGUCUUCCUCCAGGUCAUGUUGUCCCCCAAGGGUCUUCGUUGGCCUAUUGCUUCCUGGGCUCUGUGUGUCAGGCUUCUUUCCGAGUUGGAAGUAUGCGGAUGUCAAGGCCACCUUGCUCUCCUCACUCCCAGGAAACAUCUCUGUGGAACCAUUUGGCAAGAUGGUGGUCGUUGCCUUCAUGUUGAAGGACUCUUGAUGUCAGGCUUCUCUAGGAAUUGGAGCUAUGCAAAUCUUAAGGCCACCUUGCUCUCCUCGGUUGCAGGAAACAUCUCUGUGUCAAUCUGGCAAGGUGGUGCUCGUUGCCUGCAUGUUUUAGGACAUAUUUACAAAAAAGAUUUUCAUUGGGCCUGAACUUCCUGUGCUGUCAGUGUCACGCUUCUUUCCGAGUUGGAACUAUGCAGAUCUGAAGCCCACCAUGCUCUCCUCAGUUCCAGGAAACAUCUCUGUGGGACCAUCUGGCAAGGUGGUGGUCAUUGCCUUCGUGUUUAAGGUCACGUUGUCCCACAAAGGUCAUCGUUGGGCCUGUUGCUUCCUGUGCUCUGUGUGUCAGGCUUCUUCCCAAGUUGGAACUAUGCACAUCUCAAGGCCUCCUUGCUCUCCUCACUUCCAGGAAACAUCUCUGUGUGACCAUCUGGCCAGGUGGUGGUCGUUGCCUUCCUGUUUAAGGUCAUAGUACCGGAAAUGGUUUUCUUUUGACCUAGAGCCUCCUGGGCUGUGUGUGUCAGGCUUCUUUCCGAGUUGGAAGUAUGCGGAUGUCAAGGCCACCUUGCUCUCUUCACUUCCAGGAAACAUCUCUGUGUGACCAUUGGGCAGGGUGGUGGUCGUUGCCUUCGUGUUUAAGGUCACCUUCAAAGUGGCUGGUCCUGCAAGUGAGCAAGUUACCUUCAGGGAGCCAAGAGCGCUGAAAUGAGGUCUGUCACUUCAGAGAAAAGGGUGCAAUUCCGUAAACCUUGAGUAACACCAUGGGACCCACAGGAAGUGCCUGAGUGAUGCUGGGAAUGCGCCUGAGGGAAAAGUCACCUCGUGACGAGAGGAAGUUGAGUUGCUGGCUGUGUGCUGUAGAUGGAGGUGUGGAGCGGUGGUUGUCUGCGUGGAGCGGUGGUUGUCCCACAGUUCAAGGUAAACGGAUCCAGUGCCAGGACCAUGGUAAAGGAAAGGAAAGGAAACACGGGAAGCGGUCACAGCGGCUGCGUGAGCAGGCACGAAGACCUUGCCCUAUUUCAAACUACGUUUUUAUCUUGUAUUGGAAGUACGUUUAUGUGGGUGCAGGAUUGCAAUAAAAAGAGGCAUACCUAUCAACUCUGCCAUGAAUCCAGAAAAAGCGAAGUCGUUAGCUGACAACUUAAAGCAAAAGGGAGAGGAAGGAUCUAGAGCUGCAAGAUUUCAGGCCCGCCAAGGACGAUUGGGUAACUUCAGAAAGAGCUUUGCUUGAAAGAUGUCAAAGGAAGCAGCUUCUGGUGGCUAAGAGGCAGCAGACAAGUUUGGGAAAACAGGAAGGAAAUGACGGAGGAGAAAGGGUAACGGCCAGGACGGGUUUGAAAUGCAGGUGCGAGUAUUGAGAAGGGAGACUGCCCAGAAGGACUUUAUCAGUGUGGAAGAGAAGUGAGCGCCAGGACGGAUGGAAGAAGGGACAGGCUACCUCUACUGUUGUGUGCAGACUAAGCCGGGUUUACCAUCAGGACUGCCCUGGCCUGUGAAGCUGCUCGCCCGAGUGCGGAAGGAGAGAUGGACACCAGCUGCCAGUCUUUGGGUUGGACAAGAAGGAGACCUGGACGAGGAAACCCCUUUUCUGGAUUGAUUCCUUUUUCUGGAUUGAUUCCAUCGAUGCUUUGUGUCUGAAGUCAGAAAGGACCUUGCGUGUGAGGGACUGGACUGCCUUGUAAAGUUCUUUGGAUAGUGGACAAUGUCCCUGGCCACCCAGAACCCCAGGAGGUCAACACCGAAAGCAUCAACGUGUCCAAUUCAGCCCACCGAUGAGAGGACCUGCGAGGCUCAUUGCGCACAGUGUUGUGGAAAGGAUUGCCAGUGCUACGGAAGAGAACCCGAUAGAGAGGACACCUUGAGAGUCUGGAAGGAUCGAUCGCGCGCCAUUGAAGAUGCCAUCGUCGUCGUAGGAAAGGCCACGAACGCCAUCAAGUCUGAACCUGUCAGUUCCUGCUGG
This is a non-coding RNA of Miniopterus natalensis, 3022 nucleotides long. The record is from RefSeq and is a predicted model, not a curated record. NCBI's taxonomy places the organism in Eukaryota, Metazoa, Chordata, Mammalia, Chiroptera, Miniopteridae.